GUUACGUAAAGUAUUGGUAAUUUUUGGUAAUUCCGUGACUUACCAAUUGACAACGUAACUACGACGUCGCAUGCCCGUGAUUUUGUUACCCUCCCAUUACCAACUCACAACGUCGUCAGUACGUCCUUCCAACGUGACCAGAUAACCAAGACCGUCUCAGACAGGUUCUCUAUUCGUAAUAUAUUGGUAACUUCAUGACUUACUGGCAACGUAACUACAACGUCGUAUGCACGUAAUUUCAUUACCAUAACUUUUAUACUGUAUCAGGAGGACAGCGCGUUUGUUUGAGGCACUUUUCACUUCAACUGUGUCUGACGGGAGAAUUAGCUUUUCUGAGCUUACUAGCCGUUGAGAGUUACCAUGGCAACCACGGGCACGUCAUCAGCUGCUGGAGAGGAGAGGACGCGUCUGACACUUUCUCUGUUUCUCGUCAGUUAUACCAAAGAAAAGUUCAACAACUGCGACAGAUUGUUUGUUUAUUUCUAAUAAGGAGCUGGAGGCCGUGGAGAAGCAGAUCCAUGACCUCGUGGAGAAGCAGAUCCGUGACCUCGUGGAGAAGCAGAUCCGUGACCUCGUGGAGAAGCAGAUCCGUGACCUCGUGGAGAAGCAGAUCCGUGACCUCGUGGAGAAGCAGAUCCGUGACCUCGUGGAGAAGCAGAUCCGUGACCUCGUGGAGAAGCAGAUCCGUGACCUCGUGGAGAAGCAGAUCCGUGACCUCGUGGAGAAGCAGGUCCGUGACCUCGUGGAGAAGCAGAUCCGUGACCUCGUGGAGAAGCAGGCUCAGCUGAGAGAGCGGAGAGCCGUGCUGGAAACAUUCAGGGGUUGACGCUCAUAAGUCCGGGGUAAGUAUACAGCACGCUGCUAACUCUCCCACCCCCUCUACUCUGUGUGGUUCUCUGCACAGGCCCGGUGUACCCAGGACGCAAUCUUCCCAGAUGUCCUUCACCCCGUGUCACAGCGGAAGACAUGAGCCAGGUCCUGGGCGACAGCCUCCACCAGAAACCGAUUUGCUCCACUUCGCGAGACAGAACACGAUGCUGUGAUCGUCGGAGACUCCGUCGUCCGGCACGUUCGUGCUAUGUUAGCUGGAGGUAAUGUGCACACUCACUGUUUCCCUGGUGCUCGUGUUCUUGAUAUUUCUGCGCAGAUACCCGCGAUCCUGAAGGGUGAAGAGAGCAUCGGAGCGGUCGUGCUUCACGCCGGGGUUAACGACACCAAGCUGCGGCAGACGCAGACACUAAAGAGGGACUUCAGGAGCCUGAUCGAGACGGUGCGCAGCAUAUCGCCUGCACGAUGAUCAUCAUGUCAGGACCGAUUCCCAUGUAUCGAUGAGGACACGAAAGGUUCAGUAGACUUUUUGCUCUAAAUGAAUGGUUAUUGUCAUGGUGUAAAGAACAGAAACUGCUCUUUGUUAAUAAUUGGAAUCUUUUCUGGGAGCGACCUAGGCUUUUUCGCGCUGAUGGCCUGCACCCCAGCAGAGUCGGAGCAGAACUGCUGUCAGACAACAUCUCCAGGACUCUACACUCCAUUUGACUAGUAAGCCAAUUCUCAAAUAACUGCUAUGAUGGCUUUUGUUCUACCCACUUAAAUAGUACUUGUGCUGUCCAAUCAAUAAAGACUGUAUAUGUUCCA
This is a long non-coding RNA of Cyprinus carpio (common carp), 1632 nucleotides long. The record is from Ensembl. NCBI's taxonomy places the organism in Eukaryota, Metazoa, Chordata, Actinopteri, Cypriniformes, Cyprinidae.